CAGCAGCCGCGGUAAAACGUAGGUGGCAAGCGUUGUCCGGAACUAUUGGGCGUAAAGGGCUCGCAGGCGGUUUCUUAAGUCUGAUGUGAAAGCCCCCGGCUCAACCGGGGAGGGUCAUUGGAAACUGGGAAACUUGAGUACAGAAGAGGAGAGUGGAAUUCCACGUGUAGCGGUGAAAUGCGUAGAGAUGUGGAGGAACACCAGUGGCGAAGGCGACUCUCUGGUCUGUAACUGACGCUGAGGAGCGAAAGCGUGGGGAGCGAACAGGAUUAGAUACCCCCGUAGUCCCUGUCUCUUAUAC
Molecule: ribosomal RNA, 301 nt
Filed under: uncultured bacterium
Lineage: Bacteria
Description: partial 16S ribosomal RNA
Rfam family: Bacterial small subunit ribosomal RNA
Source: RNAcentral